GGUAAAAUGGCUGAGAUUUUAGGCAAUAAACUGUAAAUUUAUUUAGGAAUUUUUUUUUCUUUUAUCA
Molecule: transfer RNA, 67 nt
Filed under: Nebria ingens riversi
Lineage: Eukaryota; Metazoa; Arthropoda; Insecta; Coleoptera; Carabidae
Description: tRNA-Tyr
Source: RNAcentral